This 64-nucleotide transfer RNA is filed under the name Maccaffertium vicarium. Its description in RNAcentral is "tRNA-Cys". It matches the Rfam family "tRNA". Rfam says of the family: Transfer RNA (tRNA) molecules are approximately 80 nucleotides in length. The record is from RNAcentral. Lineage: Eukaryota; Metazoa; Arthropoda; Insecta; Ephemeroptera; Heptageniidae.
GGCCUUAUAGUCUAAGGUUAAGAUAUUAGACUGCAAUUCUAAAGAUGUGGAAACACUAAGGCUU